This 458-nucleotide long non-coding RNA is filed under the name Helianthus annuus (common sunflower). RNAcentral's name for it is "sRNA HanXRQr2_Chr12g0526371". The record is from RNAcentral. Lineage: Eukaryota; Viridiplantae; Streptophyta; Magnoliopsida; Asterales; Asteraceae.
UCAAACGUCAUAACCAAACCCUACACAACACAAACUUUUCCUCUUCUUCUGGUAGACGCCAAAUCCUCCUGCCAUUGAAUCUUUCUGUUUGUUCAAUCCUGCCAGUGUAUGAUGAUUAUUGAACCAGCGAAAUGGAACAAAUAUUUGGGGACAACAAAGUUAUGGAGGAAGGUUUGGUGAAGUUAAUCCUGCAGUUGCAUUUUGUUGACCCGGAUGAAGAUUUGGUAAAUUAAUCAUGAAGGUUUGAUUGAAAAGCCAAAAGAGUACUUCAAAAGUUUAAUUAGUAGUAUAGCUAGAUGGUAUAGUUGCCUGAUGUGUAUCAUGUUCCGUUCGAGUAUUGUCGAAUCCGCCGCAACACGCAGGGUGUAAUAAAAGGAUGGAUGCAUAAAUCUUAAAAGCAUUAUAAAUAAUCAACUAGAUAUAUAAAUACUUAUUAUCACACAUAAAUCGGUAGCAAU